This 2346-nucleotide ribosomal RNA is filed under the name Shigella sonnei. RNAcentral describes it as "partial 23S ribosomal RNA". It matches the Rfam family "Bacterial large subunit ribosomal RNA", at positions 590 to 2915 of the family's 2925-position model. The record is from RNAcentral. Lineage: Bacteria; Pseudomonadati; Pseudomonadota; Gammaproteobacteria; Enterobacterales; Enterobacteriaceae.
CGUGUGACUGCGUACCUUUUGUAUAAUGGGUCAGCGACUUAUAUUCUGUAGCAAGGUUAACCGAAUAGGGGAGCCGAAGGGAAACCGAGUCUUAACUGGGCGUUAAGUUGCAGGGUAUAGACCCGAAACCCGGUGAUCUAGCCAUGGGCAGGUUGAAGGUUGGGUAACACUAACUGGAGGACCGAACCGACUAAUGUUGAAAAAUUAGCGGAUGACUUGUGGCUGGGGGUGAAAGGCCAAUCAAACCGGGAGAUAGCUGGUUCUCCCCGAAAGCUAUUUAGGUAGCGCCUCGUGAAUUCAUCUCCGGGGGUAGAGCACUGUUUCGGCAAGGGGGUCAUCCCGACUUACCAACCCGAUGCAAACUGCGAAUACCGGAGAAUGUUAUCACGGGAGACACACGGCGGGUGCUAACGUCCGUCGUGAAGAGGGAAACAACCCAGACCGCCAGCUAAGGUCCCAAAGUCAUGGUUAAGUGGGAAACGAUGUGGGAAGGCCCAGACAGCCAGGAUGUUGGCUUAGAAGCAGCCAUCAUUUAAAGAAAGCGUAAUAGCUCACUGGUCGAGUCGGCCUGCGCGGAAGAUGUAACGGGGCUAAACCAUGCACCGAAGCUGCGGCAGCGACGCUUAUGCGUUGUUGGGUAGGGGAGCGUUCUGUAAGCCUGCGAAGGUGUGCUGUGAGGCAUGCUGGAGGUAUCAGAAGUGCGAAUGCUGACAUAAGUAACGAUAAAGCGGGUGAAAAGCCCGCUCGCCGGAAGACCAAGGGUUCCUGUCCAACGUUAAUCGGGGCAGGGUGAGUCGACCCCUAAGGCGAGGCCGAAAGGCGUAGUCGAUGGGAAACAGGUUAAUAUUCCUGUACUUGGUGUUACUGCGAAGGGGGGACGGAGAAGGCUAUGUUGGCCGGGCGACGGUUGUCCCGGUUUAAGCGUGUAGGCUGGUUUUCCAGGCAAAUCCGGAAAAUCAAGGCUGAGGCGUGAUGACGAGGCACUACGGUGCUGAAGCAACAAAUGCCCUGCUUCCAGGAAAAGCCUCUAAGCAUCAGGUAACAUCAAAUCGUACCCCAAACCGACACAGGUGGUCAGGUAGAGAAUACCAAGGCGCUUGAGAGAACUCGGGUGAAGGAACUAGGCAAAAUGGUGCCGUAACUUCGGGAGAAGGCACGCUGAUAUGUAGGUGAAGUCCCUUGCGGAUGGAGCUGAAAUCAGUCGAAGAUACCAGCUGGCUGCAACUGUUUAUUAAAAACACAGCACUGUGCAAACACGAAAGUGGACGUAUACGGUGUGACGCCUGCCCGGUGCCGGAAGGUUAAUUGAUGGGGUCAGCGCAAGCGAAGCUCUUGAUCGAAGCCCCGGUAAACGGCGGCCGUAACUAUAACGGUCCUAAGGUAGCGAAAUUCCUUGUCGGGUAAGUUCCGACCUGCACGAAUGGCGUAAUGAUGGCCAGGCUGUCUCCACCCGAGACUCAGUGAAAUUGAACUCGCUGUGAAGAUGCAGUGUACCCGCGGCAAGACGGAAAGACCCCGUGAACCUUUACUAUAGCUUGACACUGAACAUUGAGCCUUGAUGUGUAGGAUAGGUGGGAGGCUUUGAAGUGUGGACGCCAGUCUGCAUGGAGCCGGCCUUGAAAUACCACCCUUUAAUGUUUGAUGUUCUAACGUGGACCCGUGAUCCGGGUUGCGGACAGUGUCUGGUGGGUAGUUUGACUGGGGCGGUCUCCUCCUAAAGAGUAACGGAGGAGCACGAAGGUUGGCUAAUCCUGGUCGGACAUCAGGAGGUUAGUGCAAUGGCAUAAGCCAGCUUGACUGCGAGCGUGACGGCGCGAGCAGGUGCGAAAGCAGGUCAUAGUGAUCCGGUGGUUCUGAAUGGAAGGGCCAUCGCUCAACGGAUAAAAGGUACUCCGGGGAUAACAGGCUGAUACCGCCCAAGAGUUCAUAUCGACGGCGGUGUUUGGCACCUCGAUGUCGGCUCAUCACAUCCUGGGGCUGAAGUAGGUCCCAAGGGUAUGGCUGUUCGCCAUUUAAAGUGGUACGCGAGCUGGGUUUAGAACGUCGUGAGACAGUUCGGUCCCUAUCUGCCGUGGGCGCUGGAGAACUGAGGGGGGCUGCUCCUAGUACGAGAGGACCGGAGUGGACGCAUCACUGGUGUUCGGGUUGUCAUGCCAAUGGCACUGCCCGGUAGCUAAAUGCGGAAGAGAUAAGUGCUGAAAGCAUCUAAGCACGAAACUUGCCCCGAGAUGAGUUCUCCCUGACCCUUUAAGGGUCCUGAAGGAACGUUGAAGACGACGACGUUGAUAGGCCGGGUGUGUAAGCGCAGCGAUGCGUUGAGCUAACCGGUACUAAUGAACCGUGAGG